Molecule: transfer RNA, 74 nt
Filed under: Nocardioides sp.
Lineage: Bacteria; Bacillati; Actinomycetota; Actinomycetes; Propionibacteriales; Nocardioidaceae
Also listed under: 8 other names
Description: tRNA-Val
Rfam family: tRNA
About the family: Transfer RNA (tRNA) molecules are approximately 80 nucleotides in length. Their secondary structure includes four short double-helical elements and three loops (D, anti-codon, and T loops).
Source: RNAcentral
GGGCGAAUAGCUCAGCUGGUCAGAGCGUCCGGUUUACACCCGGAAGGUCGGGGGUUCGAGCCCCUCUUCGCCCA